Non-coding RNA from Benincasa hispida (wax gourd), 531 nucleotides. NCBI's taxonomy places the organism in Eukaryota, Viridiplantae, Streptophyta, Magnoliopsida, Cucurbitales, Cucurbitaceae. The record is from RefSeq and is a predicted model, not a curated record.
AUAGGCAUCUGUAGAGGAAGUGUAAAAGCCAAUAUGAAGGUUUGGAAAUAUCUAAAAGUUUGAUGACGUGAUGAGAGUGCUGUAGGAGUGGUGGGGAAUUCAAGCCAUCUUGAGAGUCACAUCCAAAGAGAUCAUAUAGGUCAAUCGAGUCCAGUUCAUUGGGAGGUGGGGUGUUUGGGUUGAAAUUUCAGAAGGGGGCAAAAAAAGAAAAAAGAAGUGUGAGGAUAAUUAUGAAGACGGGGAAAUGAAUUUCGGCGAUGCUUACCAGAUGAUGAAGGCAAGCUACUUGUUCCCCAAGUAAUAUCUGUCCUCUUUUUCCUCUUUUUCCUUUUACAAAAAUUAUAAUUAAAAGCAAAAGAAGCAGGAUCUGCGCGUGUGGGGCCCAUCCGCACGGAUGGUGCAUUGGUCAAUUUACGAAAAUAUCCUAUCUCCAUCUCACCGCGCGUGUGUCAACAGCACCAAAAUGUUUGUUAAAAAAAACAAAACAAAAACAAACAAAAUCAACCGUUCAAAUAUCAGAUUUAUUGAUCA